This is a long non-coding RNA of Parasteatoda tepidariorum (common house spider), 908 nucleotides long. The record is from RefSeq and is a predicted model, not a curated record. NCBI's taxonomy places the organism in Eukaryota, Metazoa, Arthropoda, Arachnida, Araneae, Theridiidae.
CCUUCUGUCUGGACGGAAGUUGAAUGACGUCACUGAAACUUAUGAAAAAUAUCGAUCUUCCGUUCUGUAACGGAAUGUAAAGUCUUGUCUCUUUUCGUUAGUCGAGAAUAUAUUUUCUACGGAACAUUUUGUCAAUUAACCUAUAGAGAAACAAUUCAAAAAAUUGAUCUUUUCAAGUCAGAUCCAUCUAACACGGAGAGAUGUAUAUCUUGGAAACUCUGCGUACUUUGAUAAGAUGCGUCCCUUUUUUCUACAGAAAUACGCAAUCCUGGGAAUAUUUUCACAAAUUAAAAUAUUUCCACAGGUCUGAUCCAUCUUGGCAUAAUCUGACUAGCAAUCUCAUGUUCUUUCAAUGGAACUACGUUCUUUUGAUGCUAGUUGGAAUUUGCUACAACUUGUUCCUUGAUAAGUAUUUAAAUCUCGCUCUUUAUCCUCUGGUGGCCAUUUUUCUCUUGUCUGAUGAACGAAAAGGUAUAUUACAGUUCUUCAGCUUCUUUUACGCUGUCCUGUUUCUCUUGGCGAUCCUGUUUAUUGCUGCAGCAGAUUUAAAGGGACUCAUGUCAACAACAGUUUGGGUUGCUGUUGCAAUUUCUCUUCAUGCUUACUUUUGCAACCGAUUUCCAGGUCGUAGAAGUAGACGAGUACAGGGUGAUAUUUUGAGUUAUUUUAUAAUAACUUGUCUUAUGGUAUUUAUUGUUCAGAGUUCUAAGGAAUCACUAACAUCAAAUAAUGAUUCUGUUAAUUCAACUUUUGUUAAUUCGACUUCAUCAAUAUGAAUUAAAAAAAGAACUAAAUUUGGGCAUAAGCUUUCUUUUUAUCUAAUCCAGUUUGUAUUCCCAUAGUGUACUUUAAAAUUUAAAUUUACUUUAGAUUCUCUUUAAGAAUAUGAUAUUAAAAAUAUGUUAUGA